AGAGAUUAGAGUUUGAUCCUGGCUCAGGAUGAACGCUGGCGGCGUGCUUAACACAUGCAAGUCGAACGAACCUUCGGGUUAGUGGCGGACGGGUGAGUAACGCGUGAGAAUCUGCCCUCAGGAGGGGGAUAACAGUUGGAAACGACUGCUAAUACCCCAUAUGCCGAAAGGUGAAAUGAAUUUUGCCUGGGGAUGAGCUCGCGUCUGAUUAGCUUGUUGGUAGGGUAAAGGCCUACCAAGGCAUUGAUCAGUAGCUGGUCUUAGAGGACGAUCAGCCACACUGGGACUGAGACACGGCCCAGACUCCUACGGGAGGCAGCAGUGGGGAAUUUUCCGCAAUGGGCGAAAGCCUGACGGAGCAACGCCGCGUGAGGGACAAAGGCCUUUGGGCUGUAAACCUCUUUUCUCAAGGAAGAAGAUCUGACGGUACUUGAGGAAUAAGCCACGGCUAAUUCCGUGCCAGCAGCCGCGGUAAUACGGGAGUGGCAAGCGUUAUCCGGAAUUAUUGGGCGUAAAGCGUCCGCAGGCGGCCGUCUAAGUCUGUUGUUAAAUCGUGGAGCUCAACUCCAUCACGGCAAUGGAAACUGUUCGGCUUGAGUAUGGUAGGGGCAGAGGGAAUUUCCGGUGUAGCGGUGAAAUGCGUAGAUAUCGGGAAGAACACCAGUGGCAAAAGCGCUCUGCUGGGCCAUUACUGACGCUCAUGGACGAAAGCCAGGGGAGCGAAAGGGAUUAGAUACCCCUGUAGUCCUGGCCGUAAACGAUGAACACUAGAUGUUGGGGGAAUCGACCCCCUCGGUGUCGUAGCUAACGCGUUAAGUGUUCCGCCUGGGGAGUACGCACGCAAGUGUGAAACUCAAAGGAAUUGACGGGGGACCGCACAAGCGGUGGAGUAUGUGGUUUAAUUCGAUGCAACGCGGAGAACCUUACCAAGGCUUGACAUCCCGCGAAUCUCUAAGAAACUAGAGAGUGCCUUCGGGAACGCAGUGACAGGUGGUGCAUGGCUGUCGUCAGCUCGUGUCGUGAGAUGUUGGGUUAAGUCCCGCAACGAGCGCAACCCACGUUUUUAGUUGCCAGCAUUAAGUUGGGCACUCUAGAAAGACUGCCGGUGACAAACCGGAGGAAGGUGUGGACGACGUCAAGUCAUCAUGCCCCUUACGCCUUGGGCUACACACGUACUACAAUGCUGCAGACAAAGAGUAGCGAUCUUGCAAAAGUUAGCUAAUCUCAUAAACUGCGGCUCAGUUCAGAUCGUAGGCUGCAACUCGCCUACGUGAAGGAGGAAUCGCUAGUAAUCGCAGGUCAGCAUACUGCGGUGAAUACGUUCCCGGUCCUUGUACACACCGCCCGUCACACCAUGGAAGUUGGCCAUGCCCGAAGUCGUUACUCUAACCUUUUGGAAGAGGGCGCCGAAGGCAGGGCUAAUGACUGGGGUGAAGUCGUAACAAGGUAGCCGUA
This 1455-nucleotide ribosomal RNA is filed under the name uncultured bacterium. RNAcentral describes it as "bacterial SSU rRNA". It matches the Rfam family "Bacterial small subunit ribosomal RNA". The record is from RNAcentral.